GGAUGCGAUCAUACCAGCACUAAAGCACCGGAUCCCAUCAGAACUCCGAAGUUAAGCGUGCUUGGGCGAGAGUAGUACUGGGAUGGGUGACCUCCUAGGAAGUCCUCGUGUUGCAUUCC
This 119-nucleotide ribosomal RNA is filed under the name Triticum aestivum (bread wheat). The record is from RNAcentral. Lineage: Eukaryota; Viridiplantae; Streptophyta; Magnoliopsida; Poales; Poaceae.